RNAcentral lists this long non-coding RNA (390 nucleotides) under Triticum aestivum (bread wheat). RNAcentral describes it as "long non-coding RNA (TAES_LNC009676)". The record is from RNAcentral. Lineage: Eukaryota; Viridiplantae; Streptophyta; Magnoliopsida; Poales; Poaceae.
UGGUCUUCGCAGCACUCCGGAGACACGGAGCCCGACCACUCCGAUCCACGGAGGCGGAGGAGGAGGCGGUCUUGGCGGUAGCGCUGCCGCUAGCACUGAUGACCUGGACUUUGGCCGUCUUGGCGGUGACGACCUCCGCGGUGCUCGAUGAUGCUUGAGAUGUGAUGAUGAUGCUUGACAUGACUUGUGUGUGCUGAUGAUCAUUUAGCUGACUUGUGUGAUGAUGCUUAUGCUUACAUUCGUUGAUAUGCUUAUGCUUGUGUGAUGAUGAUCUAUUGUUGUGAUGAUGCUUAUGCUUACGUUCGUUGAUAUGUGCUGAUAUGUGCUGUUAUAUAAGUGAUGUUAUUUGAAUUGAACUGAUCUGAAAACAAACAGAAAAAAGAAAAAAAA